GUUUGUUUGGUUCAGUUAUGGGGAGGAUAUGUAUUACGUAAUCUGUGUACAGUCCCUGAAGGCAAGCUGGGGAAAUGACAUGCCUUUUAAUCAAAUCCUGCUUUAAACCCCGAGCUUUCCUGAUUCACCAGGCUAACCCUGGCUUUGGACGAAAGAUUCUUUUGGGGCAGAACUUAAGUCCAACUUGCUUCUGGAGAAUAGAAACCUAAGCAAUCAGUUUCGAUUCUGGUUUAUUACUGUUGGGUUCUUCGUGUGAACAGCUGGAAGCGUCUAGUUUGGGCUGAUUGGAGUAACCACGCCCUGGAGUUUGUACAGAAACAGCAGAGAGGUGUCGUGUCAGCAGCUUCAAGUGACCAUUUGCAACCGGUGUCUUCUAGCAGCUGUCUGGGGAGUCCAGGGCUGACGAAGAGGAGCCGAUAUCCCAGAGAUCAGGGUGCGUGGGGCAAAGUCUCAGCCAUGGUUGGAUUUAUCCCUAUUGCUGUUGGUGCGACUGUUGGAUUAGGUAAGUGGCAAGCUUAUCAAUGAAAAGAACAGGGGAACUGAGAGUUCAUAACACUGGACUUUUUCACUGAGAUUUAUUUAGCCUUGGGUUUACUUGUUCCCCAGAAGCAC
Molecule: long non-coding RNA, 612 nt
Filed under: Pelusios castaneus (West African mud turtle)
Lineage: Eukaryota; Metazoa; Chordata; Testudines; Pelomedusidae
Description: lncRNA (ENSPCEG00000002038.1)
Source: RNAcentral